Small nuclear RNA from Dromiciops gliroides (monito del monte), 125 nucleotides. The record is from RefSeq and is a predicted model, not a curated record. Lineage: Eukaryota; Metazoa; Chordata; Mammalia; Microbiotheria; Microbiotheriidae.
CUGCUGUAUGAAAGGAGAGGUUAGCACUCCCCUUGAUUAGGAUAGAAGAAGUUUUAGUGGCCUUUACACCAUAUAUAUGGUUAAAGCAUUGCUACCUACUCUGUGGCAUCUAACCCACUUUCUUA